AACGCGAAGAACCUUACCAGGGUUUGACAUCCUCUGUAACCUGCAGAAAUGCAGUCCCCAUGGCAACAUGGCAGAGAGACAGGUGCUGCAUGGCUGUCGUCAGCUCGUGUCGUGAGAUGUUGGGUUAAGUCCCGCAACGAGCGCAACCCUCGUCGAGUGUUGCCAGCAUUUAGUUGGGCACUCACUCGAGACCGCCGUCGAUAAGACGGAGGAAGGUGGGGAUGACGUCAAGUCCGCAUGGCCCUUACAUCCUGGGCGACACACGUGCUACAAUGGCCGGUACAGCGAGCAGCAAGACCGCGAGGUCAAGCCAAUCUCAGAAAACCGGUCUCAGUUCGGAUCGAAGGCUGCAACUCGCCUUCGUGAAGUCGGAAUCGCUAGUAACCGCAGAUCAGCCACGCUGCGGUGAAUACGUUCCCGGGCCUUGUACACACCGACGCGUA
Molecule: ribosomal RNA, 443 nt
Filed under: uncultured bacterium
Lineage: Bacteria
Description: bacterial SSU rRNA
Rfam family: Bacterial small subunit ribosomal RNA
Source: RNAcentral